AGUGAACGCUGGCGGUAGGCCUAACACAUGCAAGUCGAACGGCAGCACAGUAAGAGCUUGCUCUUACGGGUGGCGAGUGGCGGACGGGUGAGGAAUACAUCGGAAUCUACUUUUUCGUGGGGGAUAACGUAGGGAAACUUACGCUAAUACCGCAUACGACCUACGGCUGAAAGCAGGGGAUCUUCGGACCUUGCGCGAUUGAAUGAGCCGAUGUCGUAUUAGCUAGUGGGCGGGGUAAAGGCCCACCAAGGCGACGAUCCGUAGCUGGUCUGAGAGGAUGAUCAGCCACACUGGAACUGAGACACGGUCCAGACUCCUACGGGAGGCAGCAGUGGGGAAUAUUGGACAAUGGGCGCAAGCCUGAUCCAGCCAUACCGCGUGGGUGAAGAAGGCCUUCGGGUUGUAAAGCCCUUUUGUUGGGAAAGAAAAGCAGCAGGUUAAUACCCCGCUGUUCUGACGGUACCCAAAGAAUAAGCACCGGCUAACUUCGUG
This 492-nucleotide ribosomal RNA is filed under the name uncultured bacterium. Its description in RNAcentral is "partial 16S ribosomal RNA". It matches the Rfam family "Bacterial small subunit ribosomal RNA", at positions 29 to 507 of the family's 1533-position model. The record is from RNAcentral.